RNAcentral lists this small nucleolar RNA (144 nucleotides) under Drosophila mojavensis. RNAcentral's name for it is "snoRNA:GI25404". Lineage: Eukaryota; Metazoa; Arthropoda; Insecta; Diptera; Drosophilidae. The record is from RNAcentral.
CACAGCACUGACAAAUUGACAAGCUUGAUCUUCGCUUGUACGGUUUUUCCUAGUGAAUGCUGUGAGAGUAAUAAAGCGUCGGCUAAGCUAUGUUAUGCGAAUUCAUUAAAAUCCUAGUUCAGCGUAACACGCAGCCUCGUUACA